This 335-nucleotide ribosomal RNA is filed under the name uncultured bacterium. RNAcentral's name for it is "bacterial SSU rRNA". It matches the Rfam family "Bacterial small subunit ribosomal RNA", at positions 28 to 334 of the family's 1533-position model. The record is from RNAcentral.
GAUGAACGCUGGCGGCGUGCUUAACACAUGCAAGUCGAACGGAGUUAUCAUUUUUGAAGCGAUUAGCUUGCUAAGAGUGGAAAAGUUGAUAACUUAGUGGCGGACGGGUGAGUAACGCGUGGGUAACCUGCCUUACACAGGGGGAUAACACUUAGAAAUAGGUGCUAAUACCGCAUAAGCGCACAGUCCCGCAUGGGACAGAGUGAAAAACAUUAGUGGUGUAAGAGGGACCCGCGUCUGAUUAGCUUGUUGGCGGGGUAACGGCCCACCAAGGCGACGAUCAGUAGCCGGCCUGAGAGGGUGGACGGCCACAUUGGGACUGAGACACGGCCCAA